UACCGGAGUGGCAAAAAAGUAGGUGU
This 26-nucleotide non-coding RNA is filed under the name Rattus norvegicus (Norway rat). The record is from RNAcentral. Lineage: Eukaryota; Metazoa; Chordata; Mammalia; Rodentia; Muridae.